CUCAGGAUGAACGCUGGCGGCGUGCUUAACACAUGCAAGUCGAGCGAAGCACUUUUUUAGAACUCUUCGGAGGGAAGAGAGGGUGACUUAGCGGCGGACGGGUGAGUAACGCGUGGGCAACCUGCCUUACACAGGGGGAUAACAAUUAGAAAUGAUUGCUAAUACCGCAUAAGACCACAGCAUUGCAUGAUGCAGUGGUAAAAACUGAGGUGGUGUAAGAUGGGCCCGCGUCUGAUUAGGUAGUUGGUGGGGUAGAAGCCUACCAAGCCGACGAUCAGUAGCCGACCUGAGAGGGCGACCGGCCACAUUGGGACUGAGACACGGCCCAAACUCCUACGGGAGGCAGCAGAGGGGAAUAUUGCACAAUGGGGGAAACCCUGAUGCAGCGACGCCGCUUGAGUGAGGAAGUAUUUCGGUAUGUAAAGCUCUAUCAGCAGGGAAGAAAAUGACGGUACCUGACUAAGAAGCCCCGGCUAACUACGUGCCAGCAGCCGCGGUAAUACGUAGGGGGCAAGCGUUAUCCGGAUUUACUGGGUGUAAAGGGAGCGUAGACGGAAUUGCAAGUCUGAUGUGAAAAUCCGGGGCCCAACCCCGGAACUGCAUUGGAAACUGUAUUUCUAGAGUGUCGGAGAGGCAAGUGGAAUUCCUGGUGUAGCGGUGAAAUGCGUAGAUAUCAGGAGGAACACCAGUGGCGAAGGCGGCUUGCUGGACGAUGACUGACGUUGAGGCUCGAAAGCGUGGGGAGCAAACAGGAUUAGAUACCCUGGUAGUCCACGCCGU
RNAcentral lists this ribosomal RNA (780 nucleotides) under uncultured bacterium. RNAcentral's name for it is "bacterial SSU rRNA". It matches the Rfam family "Bacterial small subunit ribosomal RNA", at positions 23 to 803 of the family's 1533-position model. The record is from RNAcentral.